This is a long non-coding RNA of Rhagoletis zephyria (snowberry fruit fly), 169 nucleotides long. RefSeq lists it as uncharacterized. Lineage: Eukaryota; Metazoa; Arthropoda; Insecta; Diptera; Tephritidae. The record is from RefSeq and is a predicted model, not a curated record.
ACGUAAAAUACAUCUGGCUCAUUCCACGGGGACGGGUGUGACAUUUCAACUCACAUUUUAAGGCUUAAUUCUUAAACUGUAAUAUAAAAUUCUGUAAAACGAGUAUUUUCUAAUAGGUUUCCGCGAUAUACACAAUGCCUAGAAAAAAAAAUUCAAAAACAAUUUAAUC